Molecule: ribosomal RNA, 242 nt
Filed under: uncultured bacterium
Lineage: Bacteria
Description: partial 16S ribosomal RNA
Rfam family: Bacterial small subunit ribosomal RNA
Source: RNAcentral
UAAUGUCUGGGAAACUGCCCGAUGGAGGGGGAGUAACUACUGGAAACGGUAGCUAAUACCGCAUAACGUCGCAAGACCAAAGAGGGGGACCUUCGGGCCUCUUGCCAUCAGAUGUGCCCAGAUGGGAUUAGCUAGUAGGUGGGGUAACGGCUCACCUAGGCGACGAUCCCUAGCUGGUCUGAGAGGAUGACCAGCCACACUGGAACUGAGACACGGUCCAGACUCCUACGGGAGGCAGCAUG